UGAGGAACAUGACCUUCGGCGGGGGAUAGCCGGCCCAACGGCCGGGUAAUACCGCGUACGACCACUUUGGGACAUCCCUCGGUGGUGAAAGCAGCAAUGCGCCGAUGGAGUGCCUCGCGGCCUAUCAGCUAGUUGGUGAGGUAACGCUCACCAAGGCGACGACGGGUAGCUGGUCUGAGAGGAUGGCCAGCCACAGUUGGGACUGAGACACCGGCCCAGACCUCCGUACGGGAGCAG
Molecule: ribosomal RNA, 237 nt
Filed under: uncultured bacterium
Lineage: Bacteria
Description: partial 16S ribosomal RNA
Rfam family: Bacterial small subunit ribosomal RNA
Source: RNAcentral